AGCAGCCGCGGUAAUUCCAGCUCCAAUAGCGUAUAUUAAAGUUGUUGCAGUUAAAAAGCUCGUAGUUGAAUUUCGGGGUUAGCAGGUCGGUCGUGCCACCGGUAUGAACUGGUCUCGCUGAUCCCUCCCUCUUGACGAACUGUGAUGCCAUUAAUUUGGUGUCGCAGGGAAUCAGGACUGUUACUUUGAAAAAUUAGAGUGUUUAAAGCAGGCUCACGCUUGAAUACAUUAGCAUGGAAUAAUGAAAUAGGACGUUUGAUCCUAUUUUGUUGGCUUCUAGGAUUGACGUAAUGAUUAAUAGGGAUAGUUGGGGGCAUUAGUAUUCAAUUGUCAGAGGUGAAAUUCUUGGAUUUAUUGAAGACUAACUACUGCGAAAGCAUUUGCCAAGGAUGUUUUCAUUAAUCAAGAACGAAAGUUAGGGGAUCGAAGACGAUCAGAUACCGUCGUAGUCUUAACCAUAAACUAUGCCGACUAGGGAUCGGAUGAUGUUAAUUUUUAAUGACUCAUUC
This 509-nucleotide unclassified non-coding RNA is filed under the name uncultured Glomus. RNAcentral's name for it is "SSU rRNA". It matches the Rfam family "Eukaryotic small subunit ribosomal RNA", at positions 569 to 1081 of the family's 1831-position model. The record is from RNAcentral. Lineage: Eukaryota; Fungi; Glomeromycota; Glomeromycetes; Glomerales; Glomeraceae.